AGAUUUUUCUGAACUUCAUGAAACAUAUAUUCAUUUCAAAAUUUGAACUAUAAGAACUCGUGAAACCUUAAGCCACAUAUGCUUCAGUUAGCGUAAUCCUCUUAUACUUGGCUAAAAUGUUGCUACAACACUUCCUAAUUCUCAAACGUUCAACUCCCAGAGUUGAUAUAUCUUCUGCACUGAAUAACAGCUUUCUAACUUCUCCAAUCUCUGGAAGCUUUCCAAGACAUUCGAUGGAAAAACAGUCACUAGCUUUUGGCAACUUAAAAUGUAUAAUAGCUGUAGUUUGCAUAAGGAAUCAGCUGUGAGCUGGCUGUGCCAUCAAUUUUAGAAGUUCCAUACCUGCAAGUUGCAAUACCUCCAAGUUAGAAAGCAACCUGCAAUAACAAUUCCACUUGAUUAGCUGCGUAUGCCGUUCCAAGAAAUUUCGUAUAAUCAUAAGGUAAAGAUAAAACAAGGACUCUUAAGACUGUAACCUUCUAUGAAAAAUAGGUUAAGUGAAGGCCUAUAGAAAUUCGUUCAUCUAGUUUUAAUUCUUCAUGAAGAAAGGGGGAAAAAUGAUAUUGUACGCAAUGGGAAGAUGCAUUUUGCAUGGGACAAUUACUCAAAUUUAGACAAGGAGUACAGAUAAACAAAAUAUAUAUUAGGAAAAAAACCAAUGCAUUAAACUAAAUACUAAACACAGCAAAACCAAUUGGGUAAAAACAGUGCUAGAAAUCUUUAAGAGAGUGCUAUUGUUAUCAUGAGAAUAUAAAGAUAUAAUAUAAUAUGAAAAUUUGACACUUUACAGAGUCCCAAUAAAAGGAAACCUAUCAGAACUCAAUAUCAGAUAAAAAUUAUAAUUGAAUGACAGAUAAAUAUUCACUCAUACAAUGCUAGUAUGAACUCCGUUCUAGUUCAUACCCAUUGCAAUCAAUAAAAUUUUGGAUUGGAAAAGUUUUAAGAUAGCCACAUAUGCGUGCGCAUCUAGAGAGAGGGGAGUAAAAGAUAUCACCAUUUCAGCAAAGAGGUUGAGUUUCAGCACUGUUGUUCAUCCCUAUUUCAACUUUUUUUGGCCAUGAUGCCUGUGCACUGAUCAUUGGAGAUGAAGGUCAUUAAUGCAUCACAAUUAUUUAUUCUCAAAAUUAUAAGAGAAGGAAAUUCAAUUGGAUACCCAGUGCAGAAUCUAAUCAAGUUUGAAAGAGAAAAUCUUCAAGGUAUCCAAAUUAGGGGAAAGCAUCUUAAUCAUCCUCUCUUGUUCUUCUUCUACUAAUUUUUCUAUCAGUAUUAUGUCUUCUAUGGCCUUACAUCUGAUAAUCUCAAGUUUUUUGAGCUGUAAAAUAAUUAACAAUUGAAGCUGUAAAUUGACACGGUGCUAUUUGGGACAAGAAUGUGGUGGCAGCAAGUCUGCACAGUAAGGUAAAGGUACACGCCAGAAACCAAUCACACGCCAAGGGCAUGUAUCCUUAUGUCUAUCAAUGUGAAAACUCAUUUUCAGUCCAAAGACGUGUCCCAAGCAGCCCAAACAAUCAAUGACUUGCCAUUUUGUUAGGUAAUAGUUCCCUAAUUAGUUUAAAAGUGUUUUUAGAAUUUAAUUUGUUUCCCUAUUCUACAUAGGAUUACUUAUUUCGGUUUUCUGUUUUAAUUAGAAUCCAGCUUUUCCAUUUUUUUUUUUUUAACAAAGGGGAGGGCAACAAAAUAUAAAAGCUUAAGUCACAUAAAGCCUAGGAUAACUCACACCACAAAUGUCAUGAAGAAGAAGCCCAUUAAUACCAUUUACUAUAGGAUUCCUAAUGUAUUUUAGUUUAUCUAAAUUUCUUAAAUAGCAGAUUUAUUUUC
Molecule: unclassified non-coding RNA, 1818 nt
Filed under: Hevea brasiliensis (rubber tree)
Lineage: Eukaryota; Viridiplantae; Streptophyta; Magnoliopsida; Malpighiales; Euphorbiaceae
Source: RNAcentral